GAGCCGGGAACGAGCUCAUAAAGAGCACGCGCAUUUUUAGCGGUCCGGAGCUGUAGGAGAAACACAAAUUACCUCAGGCACACAGACUGAUGCGACAAAACCGACAUGACUGGUUAGGACAUGAGGAGGAAACAGUAGGAGCUGUGUGAGGCUACUAAAGGCAGUGGAUCCCUCAGCAGCUGGAUUACAAAGAACACAGUCUCAGAUCAGCACAGCCCUGCCCUCCAGCACUAUCAGCAGCAGGAGCAGCAGCAACCCCUCAACACCAACAUUGUACCCAUCAGAAGACGCCACAGACCCAUCAACAAACAGAAGGGACAGUAUACAUAAACUGAUGCUGCUGUGAAACAUGAAUCGUUUUCUCACUUGUGGGUCCCGCAUUGUGGAGCCAAGUAUCGCAGCCCACACCUGGAGUGUUAAUUCUCAGAAAUGGCAGAUGCAGCUUUUGUACGGGAAAGACAAUUCGACAAAGUAUGUCCGCACACAAAACCACCAUUAAAACAUGAAAUCAGACAAAUCUGACACGCUCUUUGGCUACUAUUACUGUGAGUCGUUGUUUUGCAUGUAUGCACAUCAAACUGUUGAACCAAACAUUGUUGAAAAUGCAUUUGGAUUAAAAGUAAAUGCCUGAAGUUUGUCAUAACCUUUACUGAAAACUGAAAUCACCUCAUAUUUUGCCCUCUUGAUUUUCUGUUCAGUCUAACUGCUG
This is a long non-coding RNA of Oreochromis aureus, 709 nucleotides long. The record is from Ensembl. NCBI's taxonomy places the organism in Eukaryota, Metazoa, Chordata, Actinopteri, Cichliformes, Cichlidae.